UACGUAGGGUGCAAGCGUUAAUCGGAAUUACUGGGCGUAAAGCGUGCGCAGGCGGUUAUGUAAGACAGUUGUGAAAUCCCCGGGCUCAACCUGGGAACUGCAUCUGUGACUGCAUAGCUAGAGUACGGUAGAGGGGGGAUGGAAUUCCGCGUGUAGCAGUGAAAUGCGUAGAUAUGCGGAGGAACACCGAUGGCGAAGGCAAUCCCCUGGACCUGUACUGACGCUCAUGCACGAAAGCGUGGGGAGCAAACAGG
RNAcentral lists this ribosomal RNA (254 nucleotides) under uncultured bacterium. Its description in RNAcentral is "partial 16S ribosomal RNA". It matches the Rfam family "Bacterial small subunit ribosomal RNA", at positions 524 to 776 of the family's 1533-position model. The record is from RNAcentral.